This is a small nuclear RNA of Cyprinus carpio carpio, 175 nucleotides long. Its record names the gene U2. It matches the Rfam family "U2 spliceosomal RNA". From Rfam's summary of the family: U2 is a small nuclear RNA (snRNA) component of the spliceosome (involved in pre-mRNA splicing). Complementary binding between U2 snRNA (in an area lying towards the 5' end but 3' to hairpin I) and the branchpoint sequence (BPS) of the intron results the bulging out of an unpaired adenosine, on the BPS, which initiates a nucleophilic attack at the intronic 5' splice site, thus starting the first of two transesterification reactions that mediate splicing. The record is from Ensembl. NCBI's taxonomy places the organism in Eukaryota, Metazoa, Chordata, Actinopteri, Cypriniformes, Cyprinidae.
AAAAUUUUUCGAAAGAAAAAAAUCUGUUCUUAUCAGUUUAAUAUCUGAUACGUCCCCUACCCGGGGACUACAUAUUAAAUUGAUUUUUGGAUCACGGAGCUGGAGCCGGGGCUUGCUCUGUCCACUCCACGCAUCGGCCUGGUAUUGCAGUGUUUCCAGGAACGGUGUGCUUCCC